AACGAACACUGGCGGCAUGGAUUAGGCAUGCAAGUCGAACGAGAAAGUUUCCUUCGGGGAAUGAGUACAGUGGCGAACGGGUGAGUAACGCGUGGGAAACCUGCCCUUUUGUGGGGGAUAACAGUUCUAACGAGCUGCUAAUACCGCAUACGACCCUUGGAUCGCAUGGUCCGGGGGUGAAAGGUGGCCUCUCUUUGAAGCUGCCGCAGAAGGAUGGUCCCGCGUCCCAUUAGCUUGUUGGUGGGUAAUGGCCUACCAAGGCGACGAUGGGUAGCCGGCCUGAGAGGGUGUCCGGCCACACUGGGACUGAGAUACGGCCCAGACUCCUACGGGAGGCUG
This 339-nucleotide ribosomal RNA is filed under the name uncultured Latescibacterota bacterium. Its description in RNAcentral is "bacterial SSU rRNA". It matches the Rfam family "Bacterial small subunit ribosomal RNA", at positions 29 to 351 of the family's 1533-position model. The record is from RNAcentral. Lineage: Bacteria; Pseudomonadati; Candidatus Latescibacterota.